Molecule: ribosomal RNA, 1370 nt
Filed under: uncultured bacterium
Lineage: Bacteria
Description: bacterial SSU rRNA
Rfam family: Bacterial small subunit ribosomal RNA
Source: RNAcentral
AGAGUUUGAUCCUGGCUCAGGACGAACGCUGGCGGCGCGCCUAACACAUGCAAGUCGAACGAGCGAGAGAGAGCUUGCUUUCUCGAGCGAGUGGCGAACGGGUGAGUAACGCGUGAGGAACCUGCCUCAAAGAGGGGGACAACAGUUGGAAACGACUGCUAAUACCGCAUAAGCCCACGGGUCGGCAUCGACCAGAGGGAAAAGGAGCAAUCCGCUUUGAGAUGGCCUCGCGUCCGAUUAGCUAGUUGGUGAGGUAACGGCCCACCAAGGCGACGAUCGGUAGCCGGACUGAGAGGUUGAACGGCCACAUUGGGACUGAGACACGGCCCAGACUCCUACGGGAGGCAGCAGUGGGGAAUAUUGCACAAUGGGGGAAACCCUGAUGCAGCGACGCCGCGUGGAGGAAGAAGGUCUUCGGAUUGUAAACUCCUGUUGUUGAGGAAGAUAAUGACGGUACUCAACAAGGAAGUGACGGCUAACUACGUGCCAGCAGCCGCGGUAAAACGUAGGUCACAAGCGUUGUCCGGAAUUACUGGGUGUAAAGGGAGCGCAGGCGGGAAGACAAGUUGGAAGUGAAAUCCAUGGGCUCAACCCAUGAACUGCUUUCAAAACUGUUUUUCUUGAGUAGUGCAGAGGUAGGCGGAAUUCCCGGUGUAGCGGUGGAAUGCGUAGAUAUCGGGAGGAACACCAGUGGCGAAGGCGGCCUACUGGGCACCAACUGACGCUGAGGCUCGAAAGUGUGGGUAGCAAACAGGAUUAGAUACCCUGGUAGUCCACACCGUAAACGAUGAUUACUAGGUGUUGGAGGAUUGACCCCUUCAGUGCCGCAGUUAACACAAUAAGUAAUCCACCUGGGGAGUACGACCGCAAGGUUGAAACUCAAAGGAAUUGACGGGGGCCCGCACAAGCAGUGGAGUAUGUGGUUUAAUUCGACGCAACGCGAAGAACCUUACCAAGUCUUGACAUCCCUUGACGAUGCUGGAAACAGUAUUUCUCUUCGGAGCAAGGAGACAGGUGGUGCAUGGUUGUCGUCAGCUCGUGUCGUGAGAUGUUGGGUUAAGUCCCGCAACGAGCGCAACCCUUAUGGUCAGUUACUACGCAAGAGGACUCUGGCCAGACUGCCGUUGACAAAACGGAGGAAGGUGGGGAUGACGUCAAAUCAUCAUGCCCUUUAUGACUUGGGCUACACACGUACUACAAUGGCGUUAAACAAAGAGAAGCAAGACCGCGAGGUGGAGCAAAACUCAGAAACAACGUCCCAGUUCGGACUGCAGGCUGCAACUCGCCUGCACGAAGUCGGAAUUGCUAGUAAUCGUGGAUCAGCAUGCCACGGUGAAUACGUUCCCGGGCCUUGUACACACCGCCCGUCA